This 107-nucleotide microRNA precursor is filed under the name Rosa chinensis. RNAcentral describes it as "sRNA RchiOBHm_Chr4g0440261". It matches the Rfam family "mir-395 microRNA precursor family". Rfam says of the family: mir-395 was identified in both Arabidopsis thaliana and Oryza sativa computationally and was later experimentally verified. mir-395 is thought to target mRNAs coding for ATP sulphurylases. The record is from Rfam by way of RNAcentral. Lineage: Eukaryota; Viridiplantae; Streptophyta; Magnoliopsida; Rosales; Rosaceae.
AUGUCCCCUAGAGUUCCCUCCGACACUUCACUGGGGAGUAAUAUAUAGUACUCGAUAAUCCUCUGAUCUUUCCCUACUGAAGUGUUUGGGGGAACCCCUGGAAUCAU